AACCAAACAUAAUUCUCCAAAUCUCUCGUGUACUAUUUUGGCAUGUAGAAAUUGUAGAAUCUCAUUUGCAUAUAUAUGUAUAGAACCUCCCAAUGAAUGAUGUAUUUUUUGGGUUCAUGCUCUAUUUCAUGUCGUUGAGUUUUUUUCUUGAUUUAUUUUCAUGUUUUGGCUUUAUGGUCCAGUUCCAUAGGUUACCUUAUAUUCCAGCUUGCCCUAGGUUGUGCCACCACCAUUGCAACUAUACUCCACCCAAUGGUGGCUGGGAUGAGGAAGGUAGGAGUACGGGCGAAAAAGAGGCGGGGAUGGUGAAAUGGCCAUCGGGAGAGGGGGGUCUAGUGAGGGAGGGUGGUGCCCAAGGGAAAAGUAGGGAGGUUUUCUCUAAGCACAACGGCAGCGGUGUCAGUGCCCUUGUGGUGAAGGCAGCGACGAGGGACCUUCCCAAGAUCCAGGACAUAUGCCUUGCCGCCUCAUUUCUGGCGUUGUGGGCACAUAUAAGAUCAUCUUUAAUUGGGAUUCAGAGUAAUGUCUAACUGCCAUGGAACUAUCACUGCAGGAGGUGUGAUGUGAUUACUAAAGGUAGACAAGGCCUGAACGAGUUCUCCAUUUAUCUGAGCAACCAUUGCUUAUGAAUAUCCCAUAUGCUGCAAUUAUAAAAUCUUUUUGGGUAAUUAACUCAUCAAGAAUUCCUUUUGGUUUAAACAUUUAGUCCUAUGCAUGUGUAUGUGUUUGCUCACA
Molecule: non-coding RNA, 735 nt
Organism: Lolium perenne
Lineage: Eukaryota; Viridiplantae; Streptophyta; Magnoliopsida; Poales; Poaceae
Source: RefSeq, a predicted model, not a curated record